AUUGAACGCUGGCGGAAUGCUUUACACAUGCAAGUCGAACGGCAGCACGGACUUCGGUCUGGAGGCGAGUGGCGAACGGGUGAGUAAUACAUCGGAACGUGCCCAGUCGUGGGGGAUAACGUAGCGAAAGCUACGCUAAUACCGCAUACGAUCUACGGAUGAAAGCGGGGGAUCGCAAGACCUCGCGCGAUUGGAGCGGCCGAUGGCAGAUUAGGUAGUUGGUGGGGUAAAGGCUCACCAAGCCGACGAUCUGUAGCUGGUCUGAGAGGACGACCAGCCACACUGGGACUGAGACACGGCCCAGACUCCUACGGGAGGCAGCAGUGGGGAAUUUUGGACAAUGGGCGCAAGCCUGAUCCAGCCAUUCCGCGUGCAGGAUGAAGGCCCUCGGGUUGUAAACUGCUUUUGUACAGAACGAAAAGGCUCUGGUUAAUACCUGGGGCUCAUGACGGUACUGUAAGAAUAAGCACCGGCUAACUACGUGCCAGCCGCCGCAGUAA
This 500-nucleotide ribosomal RNA is filed under the name uncultured bacterium. RNAcentral's name for it is "partial 16S ribosomal RNA". It matches the Rfam family "Bacterial small subunit ribosomal RNA", at positions 30 to 523 of the family's 1533-position model. The record is from RNAcentral.